UAGGGAAUCUUCCACAAUGGGCGAAAGCCUGAUGGAGCAACGCCGCGUGUGUGAUGAAGGGUUUCGGCUCGUAAAACACUGUUGUAAGAGAAGAAUGACGUUGAGAGUAACUGUUCAAUGUGUGACGGUAUCUUACCAGAAAGGAACGGCUAAAUACGUGCCA
Molecule: ribosomal RNA, 163 nt
Filed under: uncultured bacterium
Lineage: Bacteria
Description: partial 16S rRNA
Rfam family: Bacterial small subunit ribosomal RNA
Source: RNAcentral